AGAGUCCAUCAGUGUAUCUGCUCCUUGGUGUGUGUGUGCUGCUGCUGUCUGCACUGACUGUUUCUGCAGUCCUUGCCUGCCUGCCUCCAUUUUCUCCGAAUCGAGCAUUCCUCAACUUAAUGAUCAUCAUUCCGUAUUUCAUCUCCACCUUCCUGAUGGUGUCGAUUCAUGAAAGAAUCCAGAGAGAGCGCUCACUGGCCAUUUGCAUGGAAAUGGCGAUGCUUGAAAGUGCUCAGGGAUCUGAUGAAGGCUAUGAGGACAUUGAUGCUGACAUCACCACUGAGCAUGUUUUCUGACCUACAGAGACUGCUGACAGCCACUGAGAGCAAAUCAUCCAAAGGGGUAGAGGGGACCCUAACCAUGACCCGCCACCAGUGAAAUGGUGGUUAUAAAAGAUUACUCAGGAUCAUGUAUUUAUUUUUGUCUUUUAAAACAUAACCCUUCAGCCCUUCAGUUUCUGACUUGUUGAACACAAUUAAAACCAGGAUAUUUGGAUAAACCCAUCUCACAGAUGGUCAAUAAAAAGUAUGAAGAGAUCAGAACUGUUUCUGCCUUUAUUGUGUUCAUCUGUUUAAAUAAAUCAUGUUUGCCUGAAGUGACAGGCAGCACAGCGGGGAGCUAGGAAGUAAGUCAAUGCUUUGUUCAUGUGACACUUCACAAACUUUAUUUUUCAAUUAUCUAAUUACCAGCUGAACCUUCUGAACCGAAACAAA
Molecule: long non-coding RNA, 713 nt
Organism: Oreochromis aureus
Lineage: Eukaryota; Metazoa; Chordata; Actinopteri; Cichliformes; Cichlidae
Source: Ensembl